Molecule: ribosomal RNA, 468 nt
Filed under: uncultured bacterium
Lineage: Bacteria
Description: partial 16S ribosomal RNA
Rfam family: Bacterial small subunit ribosomal RNA
Source: RNAcentral
GACGAACGCUGGCGGCGUGCUUAACACAUGCAAGUCGAACGGAAAGGCCCUGCUUUUGUGGGGUGCUCGAGUGGCGAACGGGUGAGUAACACGUGGGUAACCUGCCCUUGACUUUGGGAUAACUUCAGGAAACUGGGGCUAAUACCGGAUAGGAGCUCCUUCUGCAUGGUGGGGUUUGGAAAGUUUCGGCGUGUGGGUAUGGACUCGCGGCUUUUCAGCUUGUUGGUGGGGUAGUGGCUUACCAAGCCUUUGAGGGGUAGCCGGCCGGAGAGGGUGACCGGCAACAUUGGGACUGAGAUACGGCCCAGACUCCUACGGGAGGCAGAAGUGGGGAAUAUUGAAAAAUGGGCGGAAGCCUGAUGAAGCAACGCCGCGUGCGGGAUGAGGGCCUUCGGGUUGUAAACCGCUUUCGCCUGUGACGAAGCGUGAGUGACGGUAAUGGGUAAAGAAGCACCGGCUAACUACGUG